Long non-coding RNA from Salvia miltiorrhiza (redroot sage), 370 nucleotides. RefSeq lists it as uncharacterized. NCBI's taxonomy places the organism in Eukaryota, Viridiplantae, Streptophyta, Magnoliopsida, Lamiales, Lamiaceae. The transcript is spliced from 2 exons. The record is from RefSeq and is a predicted model, not a curated record.
AGGCUUUGUGACCAGGGGGAUCAGCGCUGCUUUCCCAAAACAGGUUUAUAUGUGAUUAUGAUCUUCAGGCUUUGCCUAACCAGAUUGGCUGGCUGGUGCUGACGGGACGGAGCUGAGGCUAGAGAUAAAUUCCUAUGUUAGACUUCCGCUGUAGCAAUUACUCAUAUCAGUCUUUUGUUUUCCCAACUUAAGAUCUUCAUGUUAAAUUUCAAAUGAUAUACCUGACCGAGCUUAGACUCUUCACUACUUAAUUUAUGCCAAUGAAUGUCGGUUGUCAGAAGCAUGAAACAAAACUUGUGAUCCAAAGGGGCAUAGCCCGACUUUCUAUCCUAUUUCGGGUUUUUACAAGGUUGUUCCUUGUUUAUUUCUA